This 471-nucleotide ribosomal RNA is filed under the name uncultured bacterium. Its description in RNAcentral is "bacterial SSU rRNA". It matches the Rfam family "Bacterial small subunit ribosomal RNA", at positions 335 to 798 of the family's 1533-position model. The record is from RNAcentral.
ACUCCUACGGGAGGCAGCAGUGGGGAAUAUUGCACAAUGGGGGAAACCCUGAUGCAGCCAUGCCGCGUGUGUGAAGAAGGCCUUCGGGUUGUAAAGCACUUUCAGCGAGGAGGAAAGGGUGUAAGUUAAUACCUUACAUCUGUGACGUUACUCGCAGAAGAAGCACCGGCUAACUCCGUGCCAGCAGCCGCGGUAAUACGGAGGGUGCGAGCGUUAAUCGGAAUUACUGGGCGUAAAGCGUGCGCAGGCGGUUUGUUAAGCGAGAUGUGAAAGCCCCGGGCUCAACCUGGGAACCGCAUUUCGAACUGGCAAACUAGAGUCUUGUAGAGGGGGGUAGAAUUCCAGGUGUAGCGGUGAAAUGCGUAGAGAUCUGGAGGAAUACCGGUGGCGAAGGCGGCCCCCUGGACAAAGACUGACGCUCAGGCACGAAAGCGUGGGGAGCAAACAGGAUUAGAUACCCUGGUAGGCUCU